UUUAUGGAGAGUUUGAUCCUGGCUCAGGACGAACGCUGGCGGCGUUCCUAACACAUGCAAGUCGAACGGGAAGGCCCUUCGGGGUACACUAGUGGCGAACGGGUGAGUAACACGUGGGUGA
Molecule: ribosomal RNA, 121 nt
Filed under: Austwickia sp.
Lineage: Bacteria; Bacillati; Actinomycetota; Actinomycetes; Micrococcales; Dermatophilaceae
Description: partial 16S ribosomal RNA
Rfam family: Bacterial small subunit ribosomal RNA
Source: RNAcentral